UUACGGCCAUAUCACGCUGAAAUACCGGUUUUCGUAAGAUCACUGAAAUUAAGCAACGUCAAGCUUGGUUAGUACCAAGAUGGGUGACUGAUUGGGAAAACCAGGUGCUGUAAG
Molecule: non-coding RNA, 114 nt
Organism: Acanthosepion pharaonis
Lineage: Eukaryota; Metazoa; Mollusca; Cephalopoda; Sepiida; Sepiidae
Source: the annotation of a GenBank genome assembly